UGCCUGUUCGAGCGUCAUUACAACCCUCAAGCUCUGCUUGGUAUUGGGCGUCACCCCCGGGUGCGCCUUAAAAUCAGUGGCGGUGCGUCUGGCUCUAAGCGUAGUAAUUUAUCUCGCUAUUGGGUCCGGUGGUUGCUUGCCAACAACCCCCAACUUCUAAGGUUGACCUCGGAUCAGGUAGGGAUACCCGCUGAACUUAA
Molecule: unclassified non-coding RNA, 200 nt
Filed under: soil metagenome
Description: partial contains internal transcribed spacer 2 and large subunit ribosomal RNA
Source: RNAcentral